This 490-nucleotide ribosomal RNA is filed under the name uncultured bacterium. RNAcentral's name for it is "partial 16S ribosomal RNA". It matches the Rfam family "Bacterial small subunit ribosomal RNA", at positions 30 to 507 of the family's 1533-position model. The record is from RNAcentral.
AUUGAACGCUGGCGGCAGGCCUAACACAUGCAAGUCGAACGGUAACAGAGUGCAGCUUGCUGCUUCCCUGACGAGUGUCGGACGGGUGAGUAGUGUCUGGCAAACUGUCUGUUGGCGUGGGAUAACUACUGGAAACGGUAACUCAUACCGCAUAACCUCCCUAGACCAAAGAGGAGGACCUUAUCGCCUCUUGCCAUCGUAUGUGCCCAGAUGGGAUUAGCUAGUAGGUGGGGUAACGGCUCACCUAGGCGACGAUCCCUAGCUGGUCUGAGAGGAUGAUCAGCCACACUGGAACUGAGACACGGUCCAGACUCCUACGGGAGGCAGCAGUGGGGAAUAUUGGACAAUGGGCGCAAGCCUGAUGCAGCCAUGCCGCGUGGAUGAAGAAGGCCUUCGGGUUGUAAAGUACUUUUGGUGGGAAGGAAGGGAGGAAAGUUAAUACCCCGCUGUGUUGACGGUACCCGAAGAAGAAGCACCGGCUAACUUCGUG